RNAcentral lists this ribosomal RNA (1563 nucleotides) under Triticum aestivum (bread wheat). RNAcentral's name for it is "partial small subunit ribosomal RNA". The record is from RNAcentral. Lineage: Eukaryota; Viridiplantae; Streptophyta; Magnoliopsida; Poales; Poaceae.
AUGGUCAUGGCGUCGCGUCGUAGCGUGGCGCUGGGGCUCCUCUUCGGCCUCCUGUCCUGCUACGCGCCCGUUGUCCCUUCCGUGGCUUCCUCCGAUGGCUUCCUCCAAUGCAUGUCGGCGGCCAUGCCCAAGCAGCUCCUGCACACGCAGGGCUCGCCUUCGUUCACGUCGGUCCUGGCGUCCUCCAUCCGGAACGCCAAGUUCUCCACGCCUGCCACGGUGAGGCCGCUCUGCAUCGUCACGCCGACGAACGCCUCCCACGUCCAGGCCGCCGUGGUGUGCGGCCGCCGGCACGACGUGCGCGUCCGCGUGCGCAGCGGUGGGCACGACUACGAGGGCCUCUCGUACCGGUCCGAGCGCCGCGAGGCGUUCGCCGUCGUCGACCUGGCCAACCUCCGCUCCGUGCGCGUCGACCGGGAGGCCGCCACCGCGUGGGUGGACUCCGGCGCGACGCUCGGGGAGCUGUUCUACGCCAUCUCGCAGGCGAGCAAGCAGCUGGCGUUCCCGGCCGGCCUGUGCCCGACGAUCGGCGUGGGCGGGCACCUCAGCGGCGGCGGGUUCGGCAUGCUGCUGCGCAAGUACGGCCUCGCCGCCGACAACGUCCUGGACGCCACGCUCGUCGACGCCAACGGGGAGCUCGUGGACAAGCAGGCCAUGGGGCCCGACGUGUUCUGGGCCAUCCGCGGGGGCGGCGGCGGCGGGAGCUUCGGCAUCGUGCUGUCGUGGAAGGUGAAGCUCGUGCCAGUCCCGCCGACGGUGACCAUGUUCACCGUCCUAAAGUCCGUCGACGAGGGCGCGGUGCGCAUGCUCACCAGAUGGCAGCAGGUCGCUCCGGCUCUCCCCGAGGACAUUUUCAUCACGGUGCGCCUCCAAAAACAGGUGGCUCGCUUCCAGUCCAUGUACCUGGGCACGUGCGACGCGCUGCUGCCGCUGAUGGGGAGCCGCUUCCCGGAGCUCGGCGUGAACCGGACGCACUGCAAGGAGAUGACAUGGGUCCAGUCCGUGCCCUUCAUCUACCUGGGCCCCACCGCCGCCGUGGAGGACAUCCUGAACCGGACCACCUCCAGCACCCCCUUCAGCAAGGCCACCUCCGACUACGUCCGGCAGGCCAUCGCCGAGGACGUGUGGGCGGAGAUCUUCGCCCGGAUCGCCAAGCCGGAGGCCGGGCUGAUGAUCAUGGACCCCUACGGCGCCAAGAUGAGCAGCCUCCCGGAGACGGCGACGCCGUUCCCGCACCGCGGCGGCGUGCUGUACAACAUCCAGUACAUGAACUUCUGGUCCGCCGACACGGACGGGUCGGCGCAGACGAGGUGGCUCAAAGACAUGUACGCGUUCAUGGAGCCGCACGUGAGCAAGAACCCCAGGGCGGCGUACGUGAACUACAGGGACCUCGACCUCGGCCAGAAUGUCGUCGUGGGCAACGUCACCAGUUACGAGGCCGGCAGGAUUUGGGGCGAGAAGUACUACGGGGGUAACUUCCGGAGGCUCGCCAUGGCCAAGGCCGUGGCGGAUCCUGACGACUACUUCAGGAACGAGCAGAGCAUCCCACCAUUCAAGGAGUGA